Molecule: ribosomal RNA, 303 nt
Filed under: Triticum aestivum (bread wheat)
Lineage: Eukaryota; Viridiplantae; Streptophyta; Magnoliopsida; Poales; Poaceae
Description: partial small subunit ribosomal RNA
Source: RNAcentral
AUGGACCUAGACCUACACGGUGAACGCCAACGCGAGAACAGACUCACGCGUCACCAACACGAAUGCUCGCCACGGCGCUGCGUCCCGCAUGUCCCGCACGCAUCCGACGCGCCCGACGAGUCCGACCGCACCAGUGCGUCCCGCACGUCCCGCACGCAUCCGACGUGUCCAACGAGCCCGACUGCACCAGACGUCGUGGCUUAUUCCAACACACACCCUAAGCCACGACAUCGCCGUCGUCGGAGUUGGGGUAACUCCCGUCAUCGAUGUCGCCACGACCGCGGACUCGACCCGGCGCGCUGA